GCGCAAGAUAGGCCGGCAGGGUAGGGGUCUGCUGUAAGCACAAAUCCUCUUAUGGUGCGGCUGAUAGGCCAAUGGCGUAUAUAUCUUUUGUCUUAGGCCCACAUCCACAAGACAAUGAGAUCUAUGCCUGCAUGGAUAUACUUGCUAGAGAACCUGGUCAGGCCGGAAGGAGCAGCCAUAAUCUAGUAGGUAUAUGCUAUGCAGAAACAAGAUCAAGUCUUGAGAUGUGUAAGCUAAGGCAGGAGGUAUAUGCCACAUUGGCCAUUCUUGCGC
This 273-nucleotide signal recognition particle RNA is filed under the name Microcaldota archaeon. RNAcentral's name for it is "Candidatus Micrarchaeota archaeon (hot springs metagenome) signal recognition particle sRNA". It matches the Rfam family "Archaeal signal recognition particle RNA". Lineage: Archaea; Nanobdellati; Microcaldota. The record is from RNAcentral.